Molecule: long non-coding RNA, 558 nt
Filed under: Phoenix dactylifera (date palm)
Lineage: Eukaryota; Viridiplantae; Streptophyta; Magnoliopsida; Arecales; Arecaceae
Description: long non-coding RNA (PDAC_LNC021772)
Source: RNAcentral
GGGUGCCUUAUCCAAUAAAGCGCCCCGACCCUCAAGCUCGGGGAGCUCUACCGAGCACAUCUCGAAAUCAGGGACACCAGGCUAGCCUCAAUACCCGUCAAGCCGACCUCGUCGAGUAUAUGAUGUGACCUUUCAACGAGCUCGGCCUCGCCCACAGCCGCAUCUACAAGCGUGCCCACACCCACCUACGUGGCCGUACAUCGCAACACCUCCGCGUCAUGCCUUACCUGCUAGCCGACGACAGUCAAGGACAACGCCAUGCUACUCUGGCCGUCCCCUGCUAUGACUGUCAAUACCUUACCAUUCACAAGAAUAGACCGCGCUGGGCGCCACAAGCAAACCCUAGCUACGUGGUGUCUGGCUUAAAGUCAUUUCCUCUCAUGAUGAGAAGGGGCCAUAUCUCCGCCACUUGGACAUCUCUACAGGGACUAUAAAUAGCUGCAUAAGAUCACGUAAGGGGGAACUUUUGGAGAAUCCAUCCUAAAUCCACUCUAACUUGAUCGUCGGAGAGCCCUCAUCGACAUUAGGGCGGCUUUGUGCAGGUACACCGUCGCGCGG